AACGGCCAUACCAUGCUGAAUAUACCGGUUCUCGUUAGAUCACCGAAGUCAAGCAUCAUUGGGCGCGGUCAGUACUUGGAUGGGUGACCACUUGGGAACACCGCGUGCCGUU
RNAcentral lists this ribosomal RNA (112 nucleotides) under Caerostris darwini. The record is from RNAcentral. Lineage: Eukaryota; Metazoa; Arthropoda; Arachnida; Araneae; Araneidae.